RNAcentral lists this ribosomal RNA (503 nucleotides) under uncultured bacterium. RNAcentral describes it as "partial 16S ribosomal RNA". It matches the Rfam family "Bacterial small subunit ribosomal RNA", at positions 30 to 523 of the family's 1533-position model. The record is from RNAcentral.
AUUGAACGCUGGCGGCAGGCUUAACACAUGCAAGUCGAGCGGGGUGAUGGUGCUUGCACUAUCACUUAGCGGCGGACGGGUGAGUAAUGCUUAGGAAUCUGCCUAUUAGUGGGGGACAACAUCUCGAAAGGGAUGCUAAUACCGCAUACGUCCUACGGGGGAAAGCAGGGGAUCACUUGUGACCUUGCGCUAAUAGAUGAGCCUAAGUCGGAUUAGCUAGUUGGUGGGGUAAAGGCCUACCAAGGCGACGAUCUGUAGCGGGUCUGAGAGGAUGAUCCGCCACACUGGGACUGAGACACGGGCCAGACUCCUACGGGAGGUAGCAGUGGGGAAUAUUGGACAAUGGGGGGAACCCUGAUCCAGCCAUGCCGCGUGUGCGAAGAAGGCCUUAUGGUUGUAAAGCACUUUAAGCGAGGAGGAGGCUCUUUUGGUUAAUACCCAAGAUGAGUGGACGUUACUCGCAGAAUAAGCACCGGCUAACUCUGUGCCAGCAGCCGCAGUAA